AAAAAAAUUGUAAUCAUGGAUUUAAACUUAGUGUUGCAGGAAAAAAUAUUACAUACACAUUUUUCCCACAUAAGUCAAUAGAAAAUAAUGAUUUAUUUAACUUAAAAUAGUGGUACGAUGGAAAGGUGAGUGAGAGAUGGUGUGUUAGCAGUAUAAGAAAGAUAAACCUUUAUCACAAUGGCAAAUUAAUAAUGUCUAACAUUUAAAAGGUUAAGAUGCAAAAAUAAAGCAUGAUAUUUAGAAAAAUAGAGGAUACCAGCAGAAGACAGAGCCUAGGGAGUAAGAAAAAUCACGACCAGAAACCAGGCCUAGAGGUGAUGAGAGAUACACAGAAGUCAUUUUGAGACUUCUGAUACUUUUGAUUUUUUUUCCCCUUUGAUUAAAGAAACCAAAUUAUGUAAAUUUAAAAUAAAUGUAUUUAUGUAAACUGAAAAAGAAUGAUAAUGUAUCUUUCAGAUGAACAACACUACUUAGAGGUAUUAUCUGAUUGGCUUUUGAAUAGUAAUUUAAUUAGAUGUAAAUAUAAUCCAAAAGAGAGAGCAGGGAAUAAUUCAAUGAUUUACUAGUAAUUAGUUUCACUUUUUACUGAACUAUCAACUCUUUGAAGGCAGUGGAAAUCUGUUUUAUGAACAAACUAGACUUGUUUGGGUACAAAUGAGUAAACGACCUAUCUUUCACUGGUCUUUGCCCUUCCCCUAUGAUGUCUGAGCUAGAUGUCUCAUACAAACAAGUUUCUGCUGAGUCAAUCUCUUCCCUUUUCUUUCUUUCCCAUCCUCCCUCCCUUCUUUCCUUUCUUCUCUCCUCCUCAACCUCUUCCUCUUCCUUUUUUCCCUCCUCAUUCUUCUACUACCUCCUCUUCUCUCCCUUUUCUCUUUUCUUUGUUAAAUGAGUCCUGUGCACAUCAGUAUUUCUCAUUGAUUCUUGAAAGCUCCUGUAUAAGCUCAUGAAAAAUAGUUUAAUGAUCAACCUGGACUUAAUAGAAGUGAAACUGUAGAACACAUUGACUUUUUCCUCAAUGAUAUUCCAAAGAUGGUAUCUUUGAUGAUCUUAUAGAUUUUUCAGUCACUUCCAUGUGUUCAUGUAGAGUCUUGGGUCCAGAUUUUUAAAGUUUAUUUAGCUAUAAUAGAAAAAAAAAUGUAACCUCAUUUAUCUUGAAGCUUUCCCCUGCCCUCUCAGCUCCCAGUCUGACAUAGGAAUAGAAGUCUACAGUAGGGAAGGGACUAUGGCUUGACAUUUCAGCUACUACUCCUGGUUCUUUCAUUUCCUGUCCUUCGUGCUGCUGGUCCUGGCUCCUCCAGGAUUGGAUGAAAGGGAAGAAAGAUGGGAAAGCAAAAUCUCAGAUGGCUGGUGUUGUCUGCAUCUCUCUCCCUUGGUUCCCAAAUGCCCUUGGUCAUGGUAAACAUCCAAGGCUGGCUCUUUCUCUCAUAACAAGCAUUUCUUCUUCUUGUGAGAGGACUCUAUCUCCCCUACUGGCUUUGAAACUGGUUGCUAUGUUGUGAGCUGCCUGUGGAAAGGGCCAUGUGGCAAAGGGCUGAAAGCAGCCCCCGGCUAACAGUCAGCAAGAAACUGACACUCACGAGGAACUUGAAGCUGCCCACCACCAUGUGAGGUUGGAAGUGGAUCCUUGCCCAGUCGAGCCCCAGAUGAGACCACAGCCCCAACCAGCUCCUCAAUUGCAGCCUUGCAGAGCACACAGUUCAGCCAUGCCUGGACUUGUGACCCACGGAAACUGUGAGUUGUUUCCAAAGUUUAUAUUUCUAUUUUUUCACAGUGAUAGGUAACUAAUAACUCAUACAGAUUCCUUCAGAAAUCCUCCCCCUUGAAAUUUCCUGUCAGACCCUGACUAAUGUCUUAUUACUUAGCCUUCUGCGGCUCAUCUCUCACACCCCGUUUCUGCUGGGAUCACCCAACUCCUUGGCACACAUCUUGGAUAGUGUAUCUUUCAAGGUCAAGCAAGCCCAGCUAACUUCUGUGGGGUCUGCUCUUUUCCACAGGUAAAUGCAUCACUGGAAAGGCAUUUUGCUUUCACUACAGGCUCUCUACUUACUCUGCUAGAAGGACAACUCCAGCUAGUCUCUUAUCUUCGGAAUUUCUCCAACCCUGAGAGGCAGUCAAGGAUCUGAGAGGUUAAAUAAUUUGCCUAAGAUCCCACAGUUAGUAAGAGGUAGAGCUGGGAUGCAAAUCUACAAACACCCAAAACCAGAAUCUGCAGUCUACUUACUACAUGUACUGUCUGGAAAAUCCUGGAAUGGGAGCCAGUCCUCAGAAAUCUCAUCAGACAGAGGACCGCUGCGUGUGGCUGGCUCUUUCCAGCAGGAGGUCAGAGGCACAGACAGGUUGAUGAUGAAUGUGUAACUUACAUUUCUGAUCUAUGAAGCAGAUGAUGGUGGUAUCAGUGACCAUAUGAAGACCAGAAGACACAAGUCUGCUAAGGACACGUCAUCAUCUUUUUAAAAAUUAGUUAUUUUAGACUAACAAGUUAUCACAGGCACUGCAGAAGAUCUGUUUAUAUGUCUCUUUGAGAAGCACAACUUU
Non-coding RNA from Kogia breviceps (pygmy sperm whale), 2535 nucleotides. NCBI's taxonomy places the organism in Eukaryota, Metazoa, Chordata, Mammalia, Artiodactyla, Physeteridae. The record is from RefSeq and is a predicted model, not a curated record.